This is a non-coding RNA of Mycena leptocephala, 94 nucleotides long. The record is from the annotation of a GenBank genome assembly. Lineage: Eukaryota; Fungi; Basidiomycota; Agaricomycetes; Agaricales; Mycenaceae.
UCGGACGUGGUGCAUGGUGCACGCCCGCUCGCAAUUGCGCGGUUUAUUAUGGUGAAUAAAGCGGGAGAGCUGGGUUCGAUUCCCAGUGUCCGAG